AAGUCGUAACAAGGUUUCCGUAGGUGAACCUGCGGAAGGAUCAUUAAAGAUGUUUAUAUUUGAAUAUCGUCAAUGUGCAACCCUCCUCGUGUUGCUGGGAUUGAUGUGAGUACAUGUAUUUAGUAUGUAUGUAUGUGUAUGUUUUGGGUUGCUUUAACAGGUUAUCCAUUACAUAUUGCAUUGCAUACGUACGUACAUACGUCUAUGAGCAUCAACGAAUGCCCAGCAACAACCCUUUAUUAAUCAUAUAUACAUGACAGUGCUUGCUUCAUUAUAUUGAUUCUCAAUGAAUCGAUAUAUAUGGGGCAUAGCUCAAUACAAUGUACAACUUUUAGCAACGGAUCUCUUGGUUCUC
This 355-nucleotide unclassified non-coding RNA is filed under the name fungal sp. Its description in RNAcentral is "partial internal transcribed spacer region". The stretch from base 1 to 46 matches the Rfam family "Eukaryotic small subunit ribosomal RNA", at positions 1786 to 1831 of the family's 1831-position model. Lineage: Eukaryota; Fungi. The record is from RNAcentral.